This is a non-coding RNA of Saimiri boliviensis boliviensis (Bolivian squirrel monkey), 1825 nucleotides long. NCBI's taxonomy places the organism in Eukaryota, Metazoa, Chordata, Mammalia, Primates, Cebidae. The record is from RefSeq and is a predicted model, not a curated record.
GGCCUACUUUCCACAGGAACUGGAUGCAAGGUCCUAGUUUUCUGUGGCCAAGACAACGACUUUCACAGGUGUUUACCCCAGAUGAUGACACUGCUUCAGUAUGAAGUCUCAUGAACUGAGUCUAGACCCCCAGUGAGGUCAGUCUCACCUGUCCUCCUCUGCACGUAUCUGGGAUGUGUCACGGCUUGGUGGUCUUUGAAGAUGUGGCUGGAACUUCAUACAGGAGGAGUGGGCUUUGCUGGAUUUUUCCCUGAAGAAUCUGUACAGAGAUGUGAUAUGUGAAGCCAUCAGCACUUGAAUUCUAUAGGCUGCCUUGGAAAUACUCCUUAAUGAAACACGCAAAGCUCUGUCCAUUUGGCCUGACAAGAAACUCAAAUGUGAAAUGCGAUUUAUCAGAAGCGGCUGGCCUUAGAUUAUUUGCUAGCAGCUGAAGGAGUCUGUGGAAGAUUCAGUCUAACCAACUGCUGCCUACACACAGAUGACCAGGGUCAAGCAGUGGAGGACAUUGCAAGAGACAUGACCAAACUGGCACACGAGCCUCUGCAGGUAUGGCACGAAUUUAACCCUGAGUCCUUGUUUGGAGGUUGGUUCUCAUCUUUAGAAGGAUUCAAGACUCUCAUCUUAAGUGUUGUAAUAAUAAUAGGUGUUUGCUUGCUACUUCCUUGUUUACUUCCCCUGUUCCUUCAGAUGAUUAGAGAAAUUCUUCACUGCUGUAAUAGACCAGAGAACCACAUCACAAAUAUAUGUAUCAUUAUCAAUCAGUUUCUUCAGAGGAUCAUGAAAAUGAGAAUGAGAGUGAGAAUUCUCACUAAUGUUAUAGGCGAAAUUCUCAAAGAGGGGAGUGAGGGAGGAGACCUUAAUCAUCCUUAAGCAUCUAAGACCAUCCCCACCCUUGACUUCCACCCUGCAUUUCAAUAGGAGAAGUAAAGGCUGGCAGACUGGGCGCCACCUUAAUUGCCUUCCUGUAGAUCACAGGCAUGGCGUGGAGGAAUCUUUCUGGAAGGCAUUGUUUUUACUUAAACCUGAUCAAACCCCCACCUAAGUCACUAUACUCCAUGCCUACUCCAGGGCCCAAGACCCUUUCACAUGUAAAUUCUAGAGUUGUAAGCCCAAGGUCCUUUCACCUGUAACUUCUAGAGGUGUAGCCUUUAAAAUGGCAGGGACUUUCUCUUCCAAGCUCAAGCUUGGCUGUUAGGCAACUAUGCCACCUUGCACCUAGCCAAAUAAAUCACCCUUUCCUUCCCAGUUUGGUGUUCAAGAGGUCUGUUUCUCGAGGCUGCUCCUGCUUCAUUACGAUUUGUCUUUUAAUGAAAAUGGUAAACUGGAGAGAGAAAAUGUUUCAAAAACUAUAGCAUAUCUGUUCUUAAAUUCCAGUGUUGUCUAAUGUUUUUUAAUUUUUACUAUUUUCUGUUCAAGUUAAAUUCUAAUUUUUCUGGCUACAAGUUUCCAAAAUAUGCUGUGCCUUCUAAAAGUCCUAUAAACUGAAAACUAGGUGUUUAAGCUGGUGCUGUCCCUAAGCCCCCUAACCCUCACAGGAAGAAAUAAGUAGAAACUCUUAAGCUAAAAAUCCUAAUAAGUAAGUAACCCAGUGAGAAAUAUCCUACUCAGUCUCAUCCCUUCCUCAGCAAAUACUUGUCAUUUCUGUCUCUCCUUUUAAGCCAAAUAUUAAAACCUUUUGAUGGAAAUUAUUUACUACACCACCCGUGUGGAAUUGCUUUAUUCACUCUACUGUCUGCAGUAGCACCCUCAGGGUAAAACAGCAGACAGAGAAUCUCAAUUACCAUAGCAUUUUAAUUAUUAUCCUCAUAGCAGAAAUAAUGGUUAC